UACAUGGGGUGCAAACGUUGCUCGGAAUUAUUGGGCGUAAAGCGCGCGUAGGCGGUUACUUAAGUCGGAUGUGAAAGCCCUCGGCUUAACUGAGGAAGUGCAUCCGAAACUGAGUAGCUAGAGUACGAAAGAGGGUCGCGGAAUUCCCGGUGUAGAGGUGAAAUUCGUAGAGAUCAGGCGGAACACCCGUGGCGAAGGCGGCCAGCUGGGCCGUCCCUGACGCUGAGGCGCGAAGGCGUGGGGAGCGAACGGG
This 253-nucleotide ribosomal RNA is filed under the name uncultured bacterium. RNAcentral describes it as "partial 16S ribosomal RNA". It matches the Rfam family "Bacterial small subunit ribosomal RNA", at positions 524 to 776 of the family's 1533-position model. The record is from RNAcentral.